GGGCCUAUAGCUCAGUUGGUCAGAGCACCCGGCUCAUAACCGGCGUGUCCCAGGUUCAAGUCCUGGUGGGCCCA
This 74-nucleotide transfer RNA is filed under the name Pseudomonadota bacterium. RNAcentral describes it as "Proteobacteria bacterium (marine metagenome) tRNA-Ile". It matches the Rfam family "tRNA". From Rfam's summary of the family: Transfer RNA (tRNA) molecules are approximately 80 nucleotides in length. Their secondary structure includes four short double-helical elements and three loops (D, anti-codon, and T loops). Lineage: Bacteria; Pseudomonadati; Pseudomonadota. The record is from RNAcentral.